Molecule: long non-coding RNA, 310 nt
Filed under: Hordeum vulgare
Lineage: Eukaryota; Viridiplantae; Streptophyta; Magnoliopsida; Poales; Poaceae
Description: long non-coding RNA (HVUL_LNC016781)
Source: RNAcentral
CCCGUUUGCGUUGCGCGUGUCAAAUCCCAUUCCCGUUCCCAUUCCCGGAGCCCCCCUACACUCGCCCGGCGGAUUCCAAUUUCCAGGAGUCCGCCUCCAAUUUCCUCGCAACAGCAGCUCCCCNNNNCCCCCCCCCCCCCCCCGAGAUCUNCCAUGUCGUCGUCGGCCAUGGACGCCAUCGUCGAGCUCGUCGAGCUCUCCGAGUCCAUGCGCCAGGCCGCCUCGCUCCUCGCCGACGACGACCCCUCCGACGACGCCGCCCCGCGCCGCCCCUCCACCUUCCUCAACGCCGUCGCGCUCGGCAACGUCG